UACGUAGGGUGCGAGCGUUGUCCGGAAUUACUGGGCGUAAAGAGCUCGUAGGUGGUUUGUCGCGUUGUUCGUGAAAACCGGGGGCUUAACCCUCGGCGUGCGGGCGAUACGGGCAGACUUGAGUACUGCAGGGGAGACUGGAAUUCCUGGUGUAGCGGUGGAAUGCGCAGAUAUCUGGAGGAACACCGGUGGCGAAGGCGGCAUCCUGGACCAACACUGACACUGAGGAGCGAAAGCCAGGGGAGCAAACGGG
Molecule: ribosomal RNA, 253 nt
Filed under: uncultured bacterium
Lineage: Bacteria
Description: partial 16S ribosomal RNA
Rfam family: Bacterial small subunit ribosomal RNA
Source: RNAcentral